RNAcentral lists this ribosomal RNA (253 nucleotides) under uncultured bacterium. Its description in RNAcentral is "partial 16S ribosomal RNA". It matches the Rfam family "Bacterial small subunit ribosomal RNA", at positions 524 to 776 of the family's 1533-position model. The record is from RNAcentral.
UACGAAGGGGGCUAGCGUUGUUCGGAAUUACUGGGCGUAAAGGGCUCGUAGGUGGCCAACUAAGUCAGACGUGAAAUCCCUCGGCUUAACCGGGGAACUGCGUCUGAUACUGGAUGGCUUGAGUUUGGGAGAGGGACGCGGAAUUCCAGGUGUAGCGGUGAAAUGCGUAGAUAUCUGGAGGAACACCGGUGGCGAAGGCGGCGUCCUGGACCAACACUGACACUGAGGAGCGAAAGCCAGGGGAGCAAACGGG